GAUGAAGAACGUAGCGAAAUGCGUUAAGUAAUGCGAAUUGCAGAAUUCCGUGAGUCAUCGAAUCUUUGAACGCACAUUGCGCCCUCUGGUAUUCCGGAGGGCAUGCCUGUCUGAGCGUCAUUGUCAACCCUCAAGCUCAGCUUGCUGUUGGGUCCCCGUCGUUGCUUUAACGGCGGACCCGAAAGGUAAUGGCAGAGUCCGUGAGACCCUAGACGCAGCGAGCUUCUAGCACGCGUCUGGACGUUUUUCGGGCUCGGUCUUAACUAGAUGAUAACUUCCGAUUGACCUCAGAUCAGGUAGGGAUACCCGCUGAACUUAAGCAUAUCAAUAAGCGGAGGA
This 339-nucleotide unclassified non-coding RNA is filed under the name soil metagenome. RNAcentral describes it as "partial contains 5.8S ribosomal RNA, internal transcribed spacer 2, and large subunit ribosomal RNA". The stretch from base 1 to 120 matches the Rfam family "5.8S ribosomal RNA", at positions 35 to 154 of the family's 154-position model. The record is from RNAcentral.